RNAcentral lists this ribosomal RNA (254 nucleotides) under uncultured bacterium. RNAcentral's name for it is "partial 16S ribosomal RNA". It matches the Rfam family "Bacterial small subunit ribosomal RNA", at positions 524 to 776 of the family's 1533-position model. The record is from RNAcentral.
UACGUAGGGUGCAAGCGUUGUCCGGAAUUAUUGGGCGUAAAGAGCUCGUAGGCGGUGUGUCACGUCGAUCGUGAAACCUUGGGGCUUAACUCUGAGCUUGCGGUCGAUACGGGCAUCACUGGAGUUCGGCAGGGGAGACUGGAAUUCCUGGUGUAGCGGUGAAAUGCGCAGAUAUCAGGAGGAACACCGGUGGCGAAGGCGGGUCUCUGGGCCGAUACUGACGCUGAGGAGCGAAAGCGUGGGGAGCGAACAGG